RNAcentral lists this ribosomal RNA (492 nucleotides) under Macrobinthus jharnae. Its description in RNAcentral is "partial large subunit ribosomal RNA". It matches the Rfam family "Bacterial large subunit ribosomal RNA", at positions 1818 to 2582 of the family's 2925-position model. Lineage: Eukaryota; Metazoa; Arthropoda; Insecta; Orthoptera; Gryllidae. The record is from RNAcentral.
UCUUCUUGAAAUAAUAGGAAGUCGGGCCUGUCCACUGAUUUAUACGAAGGGCCGCGGUAAUUUGACCGUGCAAAGGUAGCAUAAUCAUUAGUCUUUUAAUUGAGGGCUGGAAUGAAUGGUUUGACGAAAUAAUUUUUGUCUCUAGUAUAAUUUAAUUGAAGUUUACUUUUAAGUUAGAAGGCUUAAAUAAUAAUAAGGGACGAGAAGACCCUAUAGAUCUUUAUUACCUAAUAUAUAAUAGUAAUUUUGGUUGUUUAUGUUUUUAUAUAUUAUGUAAUUUUAUUGGGGUGAUAUGAGAAUAUAAUAACUUCUUAAAUUGUAACUUUGAUGAUAGAAUAAUUGAUCCUUUAAUAUGGAAUAAAGAUUAAGAUACCUUAGGGAUAACAGCGUAAUUUAAUUGGAGAGUUCUUAUUGAUAAUUAAGAUUGCGACCUCGAUGUUGGAUUAAGGAUAUAUUUAUUUUGGUGUAGGUGCUAUUAAUAUUAGUCUGUUC